AAAAUGUUCGUAUCCACUUGCAGCAGCCUCUUGGUGCAUUUCGGGAAACGAGAAGGAGCCAUGAUGAAAGAUGGCUUUGACCCAUUUGAAGACUUUCAGCCAGAAAAUGUGCUUUGUACUAGGAGCUGGAGGAACGGCAUUGCCACCACACCAUACCCCUUCUUGAUGGAAUAGCCACAGCCAGAAACCUCCCUCUGUCCCUUCCCACAUGCCUUGAAGGCCGUGUGUUGGGACUGGUGGUUCCCCAAGAUGGAAGGAGCCAGAUCUUUGAACAACUGUGUAUAGCAGAGCCUGCCCCAAUCUCCAACCACAUAAGUAUGUGACAUAAGUGAGCAAUACACUUUUAUUGUGAUAAGCCACUGAGACUUCAGGAUUUCUUUAUAUUUGCAGCCUAGCCUUGCCUACCCAGAUAGAGGUGCCAGAUGGAUGACCUACAAGCCAGAUGUGUUUGGCUUUAAUGAUUAAAAAAUUGGAAUGUAAGUGCUCUACAGAGCAUGCUUGCUCCAGUUUGCCACAACCCUCACCACUCCUUAUUGAUUUUUACCCAGCCACUUCACACAUUUACCUGCCUAAGUCCGUGAAACAUUUGAGUUUGCAAGCCUGAAAAGCUCUGGAUCAAAAUCGCUUUUUGAUUAAUGCUUCGACUCUGUGUUGUCUCAUCCUGUGACAUGCUCAGGAAGAUAGCAGAAACUCAUGCAAGUAAAUUGAGUAGCAUUGUCUAUUGAGGUUGGGUGCAGAUAGCUUAGGUUUAAAACAUGCAUUGUGGGCUGGGCAUGGUGGCUUACGCCUGUAAUCCCAGCACUUUGGGAAGCCGAGGUGGACAGAUCACCUGAGGUCAGGAGUUCAAGACCAGCCUGACUAACAUGGUGAAACCCCGUCUUUACUAAAAAUACAAAAAUUUAGCCAGG
This 908-nucleotide long non-coding RNA is filed under the name Homo sapiens (human). Its description in RNAcentral is "HSALNT0023431". Lineage: Eukaryota; Metazoa; Chordata; Mammalia; Primates; Hominidae. The record is from RNAcentral.